RNAcentral lists this ribosomal RNA (164 nucleotides) under Trigonella foenum-graecum. RNAcentral's name for it is "5.8S ribosomal RNA". It matches the Rfam family "5.8S ribosomal RNA". Rfam says of the family: 5.8S ribosomal RNA (5.8S rRNA) is a component of the large subunit of the eukaryotic ribosome. It is transcribed by RNA polymerase I as part of the 45S precursor that also contains 18S and 28S rRNA. The record is from RNAcentral. Lineage: Eukaryota; Viridiplantae; Streptophyta; Magnoliopsida; Fabales; Fabaceae.
AGAAUGACUCUCGGCAACGGAGAUCUAGGCUCUUGCAUCGAUGAAGAACGUAGCGAAAUGCGAUACUUGGUGUGAAUUGCAGAAUCCCGUGAACCAUCGAGUCUUUGAACGCAAGUUGCGCCCGAUGCCAUUAGGUUGAGGGCACGUCUGCCUGGGUGUCACAU